Molecule: long non-coding RNA, 938 nt
Filed under: Homo sapiens (human)
Lineage: Eukaryota; Metazoa; Chordata; Mammalia; Primates; Hominidae
Description: HSALNT0343973
Source: RNAcentral
GGAGAACAGUUUUAUCAGUAUUAUGAACACAGAGGAGAGUGGGGGAGGCAAAUGAGGUCAUAAAGGAAGGUCUCCCAGAGGAGGCAAAAUAGUUGAGCUGCAUCUUGAAGGUCAAGUAUGCAUUACACAGAUCAAUAAGGACAUAAGAGAGACAGUAAUAAUUUGCAUGAAUCAGAGAGCUGUGUGUGGCCCAGUAUUCUUUGUAAAAAUUAGGACAUUCUCAGUAAAAGGAGAAGAUAACAAUCAGCUUUACCUUCAGAAUGAGACUACAAGGAACAUACUCUAGGGGAAAAGAAGAGAGACAGCUGGUUCCCACUGUACCUUCAGAGAGUGCUCAGAAGCCCAGGAAAGGAAGUUUCAUUGUUGAAUUGUUUGGGCAGUGGUGAAGCCGCCUGUGCAAAAUUAUGACUGAGACAGUGAAAGAGAUCUAACUUAAUCGACUCCAUCUUGCUUCUAACCUCCUUGCUGUCCUUAUUCAUUCCUGGGUGUAGGCGGAACUAACUUUGGGAGAAACUUACAGUUUAUAGUUUAAAACAAGGAUGAUAAUAGCCCUUUCCCACAGCAGACCUCCUUCUUGCCUGGUGACUAGAUUGCCUUUGUAGGACUAACAUUAGCCGCAAGAUUAGAAAUUAUAGUUAAGAGUCAUGCAGCUGGAGGCUACAAGAUUCUGACCCUCCCUAAACUUCUCCUAAAAUCAGUGCUUGAGAUAUUCUGCAGACCCUGCACUUGAUGGGUCAGCUGGCACCACCCAGAUCAAUAAACUGGCUCAUCUGAUCUGGUGCCUCCCAUCCAGGAACUGACUGUGCAAGAAGACAGCUUCGACUCCCUGUGGUUUCAUUCCUGACCAAUCAGCACUCCUGGCUCACUGGCUUCCCCCCGACCCGCCAAGUUGUCCUUAAAAACUCUGAUCCCCAAAUGCUUGGGGAGACUGAUUUGAG